GACGAACGCUGGCGGCGUGCCUAACACAUGCAAGUCGAACGGGGUUAAGCCCGACACCGGGGAUUCAGUGGGAACUGAGUUCCGGGUGUUGGACUUAAUUCAGUGGCGGACGGGUGAGUAACGCGUGAGGAACCUGCCUUUCAGAGGGGGAUAACGUCUGGAAACGGACGGUAAUACCGCAUGACAUCGGAUGGUCACAUGGCCGACCGAUCAAAGGAGCAAUCCGCUGAGAGAUGGACUCGCGUCCGAUUAGCCAGUUGGCGGGGUAACGGCCCACCAAAGCCGCGAUCGGUAGCCGGACUGAGAGGUUGAACGGCCACAUUGGGACUGAGACACGGCCCAGACUCCUACGGGAGGCAGCAGUGGGGGAUAUUGCACAAUGGAGGAAACUCUGAUGCAGCAACGCCGCGUGAGGGAAGAAGGUCUUCGGAUUGUAAACCUCUGUCCCCAGGGACGAUAAUGACGGUACCUGAGGAGGAAGCUCCGGCUAACUACGUG
RNAcentral lists this ribosomal RNA (498 nucleotides) under uncultured organism. Its description in RNAcentral is "bacterial SSU rRNA". It matches the Rfam family "Bacterial small subunit ribosomal RNA", at positions 28 to 507 of the family's 1533-position model. The record is from RNAcentral.